UUGUACUACAAUGUCCAUUUAUCUUGAGAUGAGGUUUUCUUUUUUUAUAAGACCGAAAAGGGAGUAAAGAGCCUUGUCAGCCGCCCGCCGCUGCACAAUAAAACACUUUACAGUGGUGGGGGGUGGCGUGUCACCUGUGGUCCACUGGGUCCCCUGACCGGCGGUUUACUCGUGCGUGACCCCUCUGAUUGGCUGUGCCGGGAGACCAGGUGGUUUGUAUCAGGAAGUAGAUAACCAUAACAUGCUUAUUUACGUAGGCUAUAGGAGGUACUUCCUCUUUGGCAACCGAGUCAUGUGAGCCCAUUGAUGGGCGUACGGCAGUGUGUGUGUUUGUGUUUCACUACCUUCACACUAUGUUAACAGUUACCGAAAAGGCAGAGUGCAUGUGAAACACUUCAAUUUGAUGUAGCUAGUUCAUAUAAGAUGGCACGACAACAUGGCUUUGAGUAAUGCGACAAUGGAGAUCACUGAGUUGGACUAUAGGUGUCUGUUGGUUGGAUUACAGAUGUCAACAGUUCCUUGUAGAAGAACAACCUGAUGCUGAAGUUUUGUGCGGGCUUCUCGGUUGAUCAACGCUUGCAUUGUUGACCAUUUGACUUGGGUUUAUAGUAAUUGCCAUGGCAAUCAGUGUAGCCCGUCUCCGGAGCAUUGUAACUGUCGAGCCGGUUAUUCUGCUCUACAUGACUGCCUUGUUUCUAGUGACCCCUGCCUAUCAACAACUGAUCAUCAGUAAGAUCUGCAGUGAGCAGUACGGGCCGGCCAGCGCAGAGUGCAAGGACCUGGCGGCCUACCCUGAGGCGCAUCAGUCGGUGCAGCGCUCGUCCUCCAUGGUGAUCCUGCUCUACACCUCCGUGCUCUCCGUGCUCUCCAUCCCCCCGGCCAUGCUGCUGGGCUCCUGGUCGGACCAGAGGCAGCGCUCCGACGGAGGUUUUCGGGGCAGCAGGCGCAGUUUGGUUCUGCUAUUGCCCUGUAUCCUUUCCCUGGCCAGCGGAGGCCUGCUCAUCGCCAUAGCGAUGGUGGACCAGUUGGGGGUACUCUGGAUGCUGAUGGCGGCCGGCUUGGUCGGACUUUCGGGAGGUACAAGUUCCCUGUUCUUAAGGUAA
This 1103-nucleotide long non-coding RNA is filed under the name Gadus morhua (Atlantic cod). Its description in RNAcentral is "lncRNA (ENSGMOG00000034815.1)". The record is from RNAcentral. Lineage: Eukaryota; Metazoa; Chordata; Actinopteri; Gadiformes; Gadidae.